AAGAAGGAGGCUCCUAUUGGGAAGAGAAUGUAGAGAUAUAAUAACAUGUAGAGAUACUCAGACAGGAGGGGAAGAAGAACCAAAGCUACUCACACACAAAGACUUAGUAAUAAUGACUGAUAACUUCAGAGAGGAGAACUGCAUUGGGACUUAUCAGUUCGGUAAGCUUUUUCAUGGGGUUCUUAAUGAUCAACACUUCACUAUCAAGACAUGGGAUGCACCAGAAAUAAAUGCAUAUAUCAUUGGAAAUCAUGAACGCAGAUUGAUGGAUGAACUCAUUAUGCUCUUGUGCAUCCAUGCAUUCCCAUAUUGUUUGGAUAUUGUCGAGACAAAGACCAUCCACCUGCU
Molecule: long non-coding RNA, 348 nt
Organism: Impatiens glandulifera
Lineage: Eukaryota; Viridiplantae; Streptophyta; Magnoliopsida; Ericales; Balsaminaceae
Exons: 3
Source: RefSeq, a predicted model, not a curated record